CUGAACCUGAAAGAAGUUGAACUCUAAUUGGAAAGGGAAGGCAGUGAGAACAGCAAUAAAGUCUAACUGCGUUUGAAUUACAAUCAGAACAUUGUGACUUUCUCACCCUGUAGAAAGGACUGAACAAAGAAAUAUUGAAGAAUUACGUUUAGCAGCAGCAAGAGAAGGCAAAACAGCACAACUCCUACUCUGGGAAGAAAAUCAUGCUGACUGAACAGAUCACAAUAUCCCACUCCUCAAAGACCUGGAAAUGGAAAACAAAACUUGUGUUUUUCUUUGAUUUAAAGAAAUCUUGUCUCUUAAGCUAUCAACAAUUUGGUAAGAUACACCUUUGUUAACAAAAAUGAAAAAUUCGUAUUUUCUCCCUACCUGAGCCCUCUAGAAUUCAGAAACUCUCAGUAAGUAUUCUUAUUUUCACUUAAUCAGGCCAAUUUUUUAAUAUAAACAGACUAGUUUUACUGUGAUUAUGAUUAUCUUUGGUAAAAAAAAUUGAGGGUAAUUGUAGCAACAAAAAUUAUGUUUGCAUCUUUGUAGAUAUCGGAUUCUAGUCCUAUUAAUUGUCUUUGAGCUUUUGUUAUAUACUGUAGACUGGACUCCCUUGGCCUAAGGCAUUGCCCUUGGUCUCACUGACCGCAGUACCCUCUUUGGAAAACAUAAACUCACUCCACAUGAGACAGUCACCAGCAGAUCAAUGUCUACUGGUACACAACCUUCUGCUGAUCCCUUGUUGUCUUAUGCUGGCAUGACCAGCUCCUGUUAGUUUCUGAUGUCUCAUACUCAAGCCUGUCAUCAACAGAUUAAAGAAGCUUUCCUGGAUUCCAAUAUAAAGCAUCAUGUUGGUCACAGUCUAGAGCCUGGUGACUGGAUAUUCUGGGAGCAUCAUCAGAGAAAGACAAUGGAGAGGGCCUUAUCAAGUGCUCCUAACCACUGACACUGCUGCAGAACUAAAAGGCAUUUAACCUUGAAGAUACAGCUUACAGCUAAAUAAAACUUCCCUGUCAUUUGGUCCUGUACAAGCCCUGGAGGCCUCCAAAACAAACUGACAAGGGAGAGAAGCAAUCAACACCUGAGGCAGACAGCUUUCCCCAGAUGGCCAGACCAGUUUGACGUUGUAAAACCACCAUUUGGAUAGUGAUUCCUCAGCACUUUCAAAUGAUUGCUACGGCUUAUGAGCCUUCAACUGGGAAAUUUCAAGGAACUACAGAUAAUGUUUGCCCUUAAAGGAACUUAAUGGUAAGGCUUUGCUCUGGCACUCUGGAUGCUCAAAUGUGGCCUAAGGCUCCUAAGGAAACGACUUUCCCUCCUACAUGGAACGUGAUAUACCAGGAAUGAGCAUUCUUCAGUAUAUGGGAUCAAUGAUACUUUGAUGGCUGACUAGCAAUGCUUUCCAAUAGUUGAUCAGUAAUGCUUUCAAAUGGUUGAUCAGUGAUGCUUUCAAAGAAAGAUCUCAAUCAAAAGGGGGAAAUGUCAAAAUUGAUUUAAAUGGAGCAAUUUUAAAAUGGAGUUGGAGCUGUCUUUCCAGAGAAACUGCCUUGCUGUCUUGAACCUUGGACUGGGCCAAACCAGCAAUUAUUUUAUGAGCAAUUGUUUGAGAAAUCAGCAGGAGAAGGAACAUCCAAUCAGCGUUUAGCAAAGACUAGCUCUCCGCCUCCAACUCCAAUUAAAAUUCUUUCUAAUACAAUCUCCCUUCUUUGCCUCUGAAAGCCCCUGACUUUUACUCUCCAGCGAGACACUAUUAAGGUUUCUGCCUGAAUUUGUGCUCCCCAUAUUGCAAUUCUUUGAUCC
Equus caballus (horse) is the source of this 1785-nucleotide long non-coding RNA. The record is from Ensembl. NCBI's taxonomy places the organism in Eukaryota, Metazoa, Chordata, Mammalia, Perissodactyla, Equidae.